GUGGGGAAUUUUGGACAAUGGGCGCAAGCCUGAUCCAGCGACGCCGCGUGGAGGACGAAGGCCUUCGGGUUGUAAACUCCUUUUGGAGGGGAAGAAUAAAUUGACGGUACCCUCAGAAAAAGCCACGGCUAACUACGUGCCAGCAGCCGCGGUAAUACGUAGGUGGCGAGCGUUACUCGGAAUUACUAGGCGUAAAGCGUAUGUAGGUGGUUAGAUAAGUCUAUGGUGAAAUUUCCUGGCUUAACUGGGAAGGGACAGAGAUAAUAUCUGGCUUGAGUGUGGGAGGGGGAGACGGAAUUCCUGGUGUAGCGGUGAAAUGCGUAGAUAUCAGGAGGAACACCGAUGGCGAACGCAGUCUCCUGGCCCAAUACUGACACUGAGGUACGAAAGCUAGGGUAGCAAACAGGAUUAGAUACCCUGGUAGUCC
This 427-nucleotide ribosomal RNA is filed under the name uncultured bacterium. RNAcentral describes it as "partial 16S ribosomal RNA". It matches the Rfam family "Bacterial small subunit ribosomal RNA", at positions 354 to 796 of the family's 1533-position model. The record is from RNAcentral.